This 2059-nucleotide long non-coding RNA is filed under the name Cicer arietinum (chickpea). Its description in RNAcentral is "long non-coding RNA (CARI_LNC002786)". The record is from RNAcentral. Lineage: Eukaryota; Viridiplantae; Streptophyta; Magnoliopsida; Fabales; Fabaceae.
UUUCAUUAUAUAAAAUGGUUUCGACACAACAAACUUACUUACAACUGAACAAUUCCCAUUGACUAAAAAAAUUACAAUUGUUUUCAAAUACAUAAAUUCUAUUGCGACAACAACAUUGCAAUAAGGAAGGGAGAAUACACAACAUCCUUAAAUAAAAUCCUAAGCCGAUCAUUAAUCUAAUUCAGGAUGACUAGUCAUUGAGGAUCCACAAGUGGCAUCAAGCCUCACUGCUUUCGAUUAACAAUCCAAAAUCAUUGCUCUGUCACGUCUUCGACGUCGUUGCAAUUUCAGCACAACUCAAAAGUUUAAGAACCUCGGGUGUAAGUCCAGCCCACAAUAAUAGUAGAGGGACACUAUCUAAAAACAACAUACAUACGAAAAUACAAACCACGAAACCAUAACAUGAAAUGACAUCAAGUGAUAAACAAACAUGCAUAUAAAUAUCGUCAUACAACUAACAUGCCUCAUGUGACAAAACACCCUAAUGCAAUGCUUAUAUGCCACUACACAUGAUUUUGAAAUUUCCACACCCUCCUCGAGAGGCGUAAAUCAUAAAUGUAACGUCUCUCACAAACCAGUACUAAUUACUGAGGUGCCACCUAUCACAGAUCAACACGAUUUACUAGAGUGCAGUCUAUCACAGACCUACACGAGGCAAAAAAUCCCCGUAAGGAUAAGAUGAACCAACAAAUCACAUGACAUCAUCUCGUGGCCCAUCACGGUCACCAGUAUCACCAUGGCACCAUCGCGUCCAAAAUCCUCAGAAGGAUAAGGUGGACCAAUCAACUCAAGGAACCACCACUUGACCCAUCAUGGUCACCACUAACAUUGUGACCCAUCACAGUCACCACUAACACUGUAGCUCAUCACGGUCACCACUAACUAUGAAAUACAUGAGCAUACUUUGACUCUUUCACAUCAAUCAUUAUGUAAAUGCAACAAUUAAAAGACUCCCCUUUUAAUACUUAUUAAACACUUAUAAUUUUUAAUACUUUUUCACAAAGCAUACUUAAGACAUAUUCUCUUCAAUAAAAUUCAUAACACAUAUGUUAUAAGUUAUGAAUACAUAAUCACACAAAAUACAUAAACAAUCGUGUGCACCUUUAUUCACCACAACCACAAAGAACAUGUAUACAAACACACUCUGCAUUUAAGCAUAUAUAAUAUUGUUAGAAAUUGCUCUUACCUCGACAGUGCUUUAUUAUACAAGCAACUUACGCUACACCAACAUAACAUAUCCGACAAUUCCAACGACACCUCUCAAUUUCUUUGUACCUUAAACCAAUUAAAAAAAUUACAUCACUUUGAUCUCCAAACACCUAACAUCUAGUUGCCAUUUUAAUUAAAAAAUCAUAACCAAACACAAGUGCAAAAGUCUUAACUUUAUUAACUUAAACUCUAAUAAAAUGUCUAUUGUCAGUUCAAACUCAUUUAUUUGAAAACAACUCAUUAUAUAACUCAAACACCUCCAAAGAUAAAAAAAAAAUUCACAUUACAACACACAUAGAUUUUAACCUCGUCAAAUAAAUUUGCGGUUUUGAUUUCUUUUCUUGCUCAUUAAACACUUUACCUCAUCAAUUUCAUAUUAGUUAAAACUUUUAAGUAAAAUCAACAAAAUAUCCCUCCUCUAUGUCUUAGAGUUCACGGUUUCAAGAGAUAAGGUUUUUCUUUUCUUUCUAAAUGAUAAAAAUAACAACAAAAGAGUAAGAUUAAAGCACUAACACAAAAAUAAUAAUAAUAAUAAUAAUAAUAAUAAUAAUAAUAAUAAUAAUAAUAAUAAUAAUAAUAAUAAUAAUAAAUAAACACACUCAAAAAGCCUAUGGAAAAAAUAGAAAAAUUAGAGGAAAAUGUAAAACUCACCACUUCAAACAUAUUAUUAGAUUCUUCUAAUACUCCUCAAUUUUUUACUAGAGAGUUUCAUCAAGAUUUCACUAGCUCCGUAUUUUUCGAUCUUCCUCACAAAGUUUCCAAGUAUAAACACAAGUUUUCUUUUUGUCAUUUCACAAGAAUGGAUAAAAAAAAUGUGAAGAGAAAGACAGAGGAGGAAAGCAGAUUGAGG